This 455-nucleotide ribosomal RNA is filed under the name uncultured bacterium. Its description in RNAcentral is "bacterial SSU rRNA". It matches the Rfam family "Bacterial small subunit ribosomal RNA", at positions 340 to 784 of the family's 1533-position model. The record is from RNAcentral.
UACGGAAGGCAGCAGUGGGGAAUAUUGCACAAUGCGCGCAAGCCUGAUGCAGCCAUGCCGCGUGUAUGAAGAAGGCCUUCGGGUUGUAAAGUACUUUCAGUCGUGAGGAAGGUGUUAAGGUUAAUAACCUUAGCAAUUGACGUUAGCGACAGAAGAAGCACCGGCUAACUCCGUGCCAGCAGCCGCGGUAAUACGGAGGGUGCGAGCGUUAAUCGGAAUUACUGGGCGUAAAGGGCACGCAGGCGGUUAAUUAAGUUGGAUGUGAAAUCCCCGGGCUUAACCUGGGAAUGGCAUUCAAGACUGGUUAGCUAGAGUCUUGUAGAGGGGGUAGAAUUCCGAUGUGUAGCGGUGAAAUGCGUAGAGAUGUGGAGGAAUACCGGUGGCGAAGGCGGCCCCGUGGACAAAGGACUGACGCUCAUGUGCGAAAGCGUGGGGAGCGAAACAGGGAUUAGAUA